RNAcentral lists this ribosomal RNA (372 nucleotides) under uncultured bacterium. Its description in RNAcentral is "bacterial SSU rRNA". It matches the Rfam family "Bacterial small subunit ribosomal RNA", at positions 524 to 898 of the family's 1533-position model. The record is from RNAcentral.
UACGAAGGUGGCAAGCGUUGUUCGGAUUUACUGGGCGUACAGGGAGCGUAGGCGGUUGGAUAAGCCCUCCGUGAAAUCUCCAGGCUUAACCUGGAAAGUGCAGAGGGGACUGUUCAGCUAGAGGAUGGGAGAGGAGCGCGGAAUUCCCGGUGUAGCGGUGAAAUGCGUAGAGAUCGGGAGGAAGGCCGGUGGCGAAGGCGGCGCUCUGGAACAUUUCUGACGCUGAGGCUCGAAAGCGUGGGGAGCAAACAGGAUUAGAUACCCUGGUAGUCCACGCCUUAAACGAUGGAUACUAAGUGUCGGCGGGUUACCGCCGGUGCCGCAGCUAACGCAGUAAGUAUCCCGCCUGGGAAGUACGGCCGCAAGGUUGAA